GAUGAACGCUGGCGGCGUGCCUAAUACAUGCAAGUCGAGCGAACAGACGAGGAGCUUGCUCCUCUGACGUUAGCGGCGGACGGGUGAGUAACACGUGGAUAACCUACCUAUAAGACUGGGAUAACUUCGGGAAACCGGAGCUAAUACCGGAUAAUAUAUUGAACCGCAUGGUUCAAUAGUGAAAGACGGUUUUGCUGUCACUUAUAGAUGGAUCCGCGUCGCAUUAACUAGUUGGUAAGGUAACGGCUUACCAAGGCAACGAUGCGUAGCCGACCUGAGAGGGUGAUCGGCCACACUGGAACUGAGACACGGUCCAGACUCCUACGGGAGGCAGCAGUAGGGAAUCUUCCGCAAUGGGCGAAAGCCUGACGGAGCAACGCCGCGUGAGUGAUGAAGGUCUUCGGAUCGUAAAACUCUGUUAUUAGGGAAGAACAAAUGUGUAAGUAACUAUGCACGUCUUGACGGUACCUAAUCAGAAAGCCACGGCUAACUACGUG
RNAcentral lists this ribosomal RNA (497 nucleotides) under uncultured bacterium. Its description in RNAcentral is "partial 16S ribosomal RNA". It matches the Rfam family "Bacterial small subunit ribosomal RNA", at positions 28 to 507 of the family's 1533-position model. The record is from RNAcentral.